UGUCUACGGCCAUACCUAGGCGAAAACACCAGUUCCCGUCCGAUCACUGCAGUUAAGCGUCUGAGGGCCUCGUUAGUACUAUGGUUGGAGACAACAUGGGAAUCCGGGGUGCUGUAGGCUUCAUUUCGUUUUUUU
Molecule: non-coding RNA, 135 nt
Organism: Schizosaccharomyces pombe (fission yeast)
Lineage: Eukaryota; Fungi; Ascomycota; Schizosaccharomycetes; Schizosaccharomycetales; Schizosaccharomycetaceae
Source: the annotation of a GenBank genome assembly